Molecule: long non-coding RNA, 419 nt
Organism: Passer domesticus (house sparrow)
Lineage: Eukaryota; Metazoa; Chordata; Aves; Passeriformes; Passeridae
Exons: 2
Source: RefSeq, a predicted model, not a curated record
GGUGCUUCAUGGUGUCCCUGACUCUGCCUGAGAAAACUUUCCUCGAGUUCUGCUGUCUUUGCUUCACCCAUUCUGCUGUGGGUUGCCAUGCUCUGGGAAUGCCGGGUUUUGACAGCUGUGCUGAAGCAGGAGGGAAGUGCCAAGACAGAAGGAUUUCCCUGUGAGGCUGUGACAUCUUGCAGCUUUGCUGUCACUUGUUAUGUGGUGGAGCAGCAGAUCCCUCACUUUUGCAGCCAAGGAAAGCCUGAUCCAUGGAACAGUACAUGGGCCCUGGAAGCAGAACGAAGGAAAUGCAGUUUAUGUCAGUCAGAAUUGUUUGUUGUCUGAUAACAUCACUGUCUCAGCAGGGAAAUCAUUUCCUGUAAACAAUAUGGCUUUAUCUGAAAAAUCUGCUAUUUUAAUAAAGUGAAAAAUUAUUU